This 325-nucleotide long non-coding RNA is filed under the name Homo sapiens (human). RNAcentral describes it as "HSALNT0285148". The record is from RNAcentral. Lineage: Eukaryota; Metazoa; Chordata; Mammalia; Primates; Hominidae.
CAACUGUCUUAUCUGCUUUCCAUUUUGCUAAUACCUAAACAACAGGCCUUCUCUUUGCUGACUGUGGGCCUACCAUAGGAACAACUAUCUGUGAUGUUGCUCCACCUAUUUCCUGACUUCUGUCUCAGUCUCUUCCUAUGUUUUCAAGGAGCAAGACUAGCAUCACAAGCGUGAGUUUUGGAGUCAAAGGUCAGAAGUUGUCCUGUCUGAGGACAAGAGCUGCACCAGAUGACUUCUCAAGAUCCCUUUGACCCUUAUGAUUGUCUACUGGCAUAAAUAUAAGGAGAGGGCUUCAGCAUUGAAGGUGAGCAUCAUGCCAAUUCCC